CUUCACCGAGCCGAGCCAGAGCGGGGUGGUCCGGUCCUGGCCGUAGGUGGCCAGCAAAGCCUGUGCCUC
Non-coding RNA from Amycolatopsis orientalis HCCB10007, 69 nucleotides. It matches the Rfam family "ASpks TB sRNA". The record is from Rfam. Lineage: Bacteria; Bacillati; Actinomycetota; Actinomycetes; Pseudonocardiales; Pseudonocardiaceae.